UACCUCAAAGAACCACAACAGUCUGUUUCAUCCGUAACCACCUGAUGAUUCCUAUACGGAUGAAACAGACUGUUGUGGUUCUU
This is a non-coding RNA of Paramuricea clavata, 83 nucleotides long. The record is from the annotation of a GenBank genome assembly. Lineage: Eukaryota; Metazoa; Cnidaria; Anthozoa; Malacalcyonacea; Plexauridae.